Molecule: small RNA, 1136 nt
Filed under: Histoplasma capsulatum var. duboisii H88
Lineage: Eukaryota; Fungi; Ascomycota; Eurotiomycetes; Onygenales; Ajellomycetaceae
Description: Histoplasma capsulatum H88 hypothetical RNA
Source: RNAcentral
ACCAAGUUCUCAGAUCUGGUUAUUGGAAAGAAUUUGUGGGCAACAACACAACUUAUUGCGAUUUAGCUGAUCUACUUGAUGGUAGAAUAUUUUUCCAUCUUUUAAACUUAGGAUUUUCACAAAAUCUUUCCAAUUCGUCAGUGAUUUCAAAGUUCGAGUCUCUCAUUAUAUGGGUGAAGCGACUGUGUGGAGUCAGCAUUGCAUCUGAAAUAUUAAUCUCGGUGCGAAAUGGCGUAUCUGGGAACGCAAUAAAGAAUGUAAGGGAAUCCGAGAACACCCAAACCACAACCACUUCAAAAGAAAUUUCUAGGAGCGUGCUCCCUUUCGCCCAUCCUGUCUUUGACCGUCACUUGGCGCCUGUCCGACUCGCCAUCGACAAAUCCCAUACGCACAAAAUUACAAAAACAGCAUCAUGGGUUUUCCAAGAGCUUAGCCAUUGGCAUAACUGUCGUCGUCCCGUUGGCGCCAAAGUUGCUGCUCCAAAAAUGACAGAAAAGCAAGCAUUCUUUGCUAAUCGUCGCAAUCAACGCUUUAUGUCCGAGAUGGCGGAUUACGCGGCAAGCCUAACUAAUGCGACAGGUGGAAUACUAAAACCGGAGACUAUUUUCGUACAGUCUGGGAAAGACGCAAAGCAGAAGAAGGCAUCGGCGUCGAAACCCAAUAUCAUUCUUCGUUCUGAAGUUAAUGAGAAGAAAGGUCCGUUGAAGUCCAGCGGCAAAAGGAAUCUCACGAAAGAUCUUAUUGCCGCGAAAAAUGAGAGAAGGAAAACGGAAAAGACGGAAAAGCAGCUUCAAGCAUGGUCCAGAGUGAAAGCUACUUUCGAUAAAGAAUCAGAUUUGGCUAUCCGGUUCACGAACGUCAAGAAAUACUUGGCUGAACGUUCACACAACAGCUACGUCGUGAUAGAAGCUGAAGUUUCGACUUAUCUGCUGCACAUUCUGGUUCAGCUGUGGAUAACUAGAUGCAACGCUGGUGAUCGGGAUCGGUCACUCCAUAUUGCAGCGUUCAUUUGGGAUAUGGUUUGUCGUAUUUCUAAGAUCAAGGAAGGAAUAACCCCUGGCAUUGCGGAAUAUGUUACAGAAACCGUCAAAGCCCUUCGGUUGCCACAGGUGGAGCUUGGAGUUCAAUUCAGCCUG